CAGCAGCCGCGGUAAUACAGAGGGUGCGAGCGUUAAUCGGAUUUACUGGGCGUAAAGCGUGCGUAGGCGGCUUCUUAAGUCGGAUGUGAAAUCCCUGAGCUUAACUUAGGAAUUGCAUUCGAUACUGGGAAGCUAGAGUAUGGGAGAGGAUGGUAGAAUUCCAGGUGUAGCGGUGAAAUGCGUAGAGAUCUGGAGGAAUACCGAUGGCGAAGGCAGCCAUCUGGCCUAAUACUGACGCUGAGGUACGAAAGCAUGGGGAGCAAACAGGAUUAGAUACCCGUGUAGUCCAUGUCUCUUAUAC
RNAcentral lists this ribosomal RNA (301 nucleotides) under uncultured bacterium. Its description in RNAcentral is "partial 16S ribosomal RNA". It matches the Rfam family "Bacterial small subunit ribosomal RNA", at positions 509 to 807 of the family's 1533-position model. The record is from RNAcentral.